Molecule: ribosomal RNA, 510 nt
Filed under: uncultured bacterium
Lineage: Bacteria
Description: bacterial SSU rRNA
Rfam family: Bacterial small subunit ribosomal RNA
Source: RNAcentral
GAUGAACGCUAGCGGCAGGCCUAAUACAUGCAAGACGAACGGUAAGUUGAGUAGCAAUACUUAGCCAAGAGUGUCGUACGGGUGCGUAACACGUAUGCAACCUACCCUAUACAGGAGGAUAGCCUAGGGAAACCUGGAUUAAACCCUUCAUAGUAUUAUUGGAUGGCAUCAUUUGAUAAUUAAAACUGAGGUGGUAUAGGAUGGGCAUGCGUCUGAUUAGUUAGUUGGCGGGGUAAUGGCCCACCAAGACGAUGAUCAGUAGGGGUUCUGAGAGGAAGAUCCCCCACACUGGCACUGAGAUACGGGCCAGACUCCUACGGGAGGCAGCAGUAGGGAAUAUUGGUCAAUGGAUGCAAGUCUGAACCAGCCAUGCCGCGUGCAGGAAGAAGGCCUUUCUGGGGUUGUAAAACUGCUUUUUGCCAAGGGGGAUAAAAAUUUUCCAUGCGUGGAAAAACUGAAGGUACCUGGUGAAUAAGCCACGGCUAACUACGUGCCAGCAGCCGCGGUAAU